Molecule: ribosomal RNA, 508 nt
Filed under: uncultured bacterium
Lineage: Bacteria
Description: partial 16S ribosomal RNA
Rfam family: Bacterial small subunit ribosomal RNA
Source: RNAcentral
AUUGAACGCUGGCGGCAGGCCUAACACAUGCAAGUCGAGCGGCAGCGGGAAAGUAGCUUGCUACUUUUGCCGGCGAGCGGCGGACGGGUGAGUAAUGCCUGGGAAAUUGCCCAGUCGAGGGGGAUAACAGUUGGAAACGACUGCUAAUACCGCAUACGCCCUACGGGGGAAAGCAGGGGACCUUCGGGCCUUGCGCGAUUGGAUAUGCCCAGGUGGGAUUAGCUAGUUGGUGAGGUAAUGGCUCACCAAGGCGACGAUCCCUAGCUGGUCUGAGAGGAUGAUCAUCCACACUGGAACUGAGACACGGUCCAGACUCCUACGGGAGGCAGCAGUGGGGAACAUUGCACAAUGGGGGAAACCCUGAUGCAGCCAUGCCGCGUGUGUGAAGAAGGCCUUCGGGUUGUAAAGCACUUUCAGCGAGGAGGAAAGGUUGAUGCCUAAUACGUAUCAACUGUGACGUUACUCGCAGAAGAAGCACCGGCUAACUCCGUGCCAGCCGCCGCAGUAA